GAAAUGCGAUACGUAAUGUGAAUUGCAGAAUUCAGUGAAUCAUCAAAUCUUUGAACGCAUAUUGUGCUGGCUGGUUCGCUAGUCAGCAUGUCUGUUUCAGUAUCAGUUCAAAACUCGCCAAAUUUAUUUUCUUUGGCGGAGCUGGGCGUUUCAUUAAUUUGAAUCGCUUGAAAUGCAAGGGAUUCCGGUGCAAAGCUCUAGCUCCGGGGAUGUGUCACUUUCCUUGUGGAAACCUGCAUCUUCCGUUCUACUAGAAUGCAUUGGUGAUUCCGGCUGUAGUAACGAAUCCAUUCUAUUGAUCUGAAAUCAGGCAAGAUUACCCGCUGAAUUUAA
Molecule: unclassified non-coding RNA, 333 nt
Filed under: uncultured Parmeliaceae
Lineage: Eukaryota; Fungi; Ascomycota; Lecanoromycetes; Lecanorales
Description: sequence contains ITS1
Rfam family: 5.8S ribosomal RNA (bases 1-105)
Source: RNAcentral